ACAGAAGGAAUACACAGUUUUAAAGACUAUCAAAUGAUUAGGUAUAUGAUUAUUGACAGUUGAGAUAGUGUAAAGGCACCCAUUAUACUUUUUAUUUUUCAUUUUCUUAUUUAUUUUUUGUCUAGCUGCAGAUAGAGGAUAACAUUAAGAAAAAUUCCCACAUUUAUUUCUACUCCUAAGUAGUAAAAUCCUAUGAGCUGAUUGUCAAAGUGCCAAGUAAAUUUGCCUUCAAUAUGUAUGUCUAAAAACUUGCAUCACCAAAUCU
This 265-nucleotide long non-coding RNA is filed under the name Manihot esculenta (cassava). RNAcentral's name for it is "long non-coding RNA (MESC_LNC003374)". Lineage: Eukaryota; Viridiplantae; Streptophyta; Magnoliopsida; Malpighiales; Euphorbiaceae. The record is from RNAcentral.